This 253-nucleotide ribosomal RNA is filed under the name uncultured bacterium. RNAcentral's name for it is "partial 16S ribosomal RNA". It matches the Rfam family "Bacterial small subunit ribosomal RNA", at positions 524 to 776 of the family's 1533-position model. The record is from RNAcentral.
GACGGAGGGUGCGAGCGUUGUCCGGAAUCACUGGGCGUAAAGGGCGCGUAGGCGGCCUGAUAAGUAGGGGGUGAAAUCCUGCGGCUUAACCGCAGGGCUGCCUUCUAAACUGUCAGGCUGGAGCACAGUAGAGGCAGGUGGAAUUCCCGGUGUAGCGGUGGAAUGCGUAGAGAUCGGGAAGAACAUCAGUGGCGAAGGCGGCCUGCUGGGCUGUUGCUGACGCUGAGGCGCGACAGCGUGGGGAGCAAACAGG